This 291-nucleotide long non-coding RNA is filed under the name Setaria viridis. Its description in RNAcentral is "long non-coding RNA (SVIR_LNC007311)". Lineage: Eukaryota; Viridiplantae; Streptophyta; Magnoliopsida; Poales; Poaceae. The record is from RNAcentral.
UUUGAGGCAUACGUUGUAGGGGUAAGUAACGGUAUAUCUCAGAUAAAUGGCUAAGUGUAAUGGUAGGGGUCCAAUCAGAUCGGAUAUGUCUUAGUUACAAACACGAACAAAUGUGUUCGGAAUACAAAAUGAGUCCGGUGCGGACAAUGUCGGCAAUGAAUAUUUUCCUCGGAGAAUGAGUAAAAGCUACCGUACAUAUACCACACGUCCUGCAUUCAUUUAGACGCACAACAAGUCCUAAGUGGCUAAUUCCAUCCAGAUUGUGCUUAAAGAAGAAAACUUUUAUUAUUU